This 380-nucleotide ribosomal RNA is filed under the name uncultured eukaryote. RNAcentral describes it as "partial 18S ribosomal RNA". It matches the Rfam family "Eukaryotic small subunit ribosomal RNA", at positions 592 to 976 of the family's 1831-position model. The record is from RNAcentral.
CAAUAGCGUAUAUUAAAGUUGUUGCAGUUAAAAAGCUCGUAGUUGGAUUUGUGGCGUACGGUGGGUUCCGGGCACUUGUUGUCUGAGUAACUUGCUGUUGCCAUCCUUGGGUGGAACCUGUGUGGCAUUAGGUUGUCGUGCAGGGGAUGCCCAUCAUUUACUGUGAAAAAAUUAGAGCGUUCAAAGCAGGCUUAUGCCGUUGAAUAUAUUAGCAUGGAAUAAUGAGAUAGGACUUUUUUGCUAUUUUGUUGGUUUGCGCAAAGAGGUAAUGAUUAAUAGGGACAGUUGGGGGUAUUCGUAUUCCAUUGUCAGAGGUGAAAUUCUUGGAUUUUUGGAAGACGAACUACUGCGAAAGCAUUUACCAAGGAUGUUUUCAUUAA